CGGCAACAGCUCAAAUUUGAAAUCUGGCUUCGGCCCGAGUUGUAAUUUGCAGAGGAUGCUUUUGGCGAGGUGCCUUCCGAGUUCCCUGGAACGGGACGCCAUAGAGGGUGAGAGCCCCGUCUGGUUGGAUACCGAGCCUCUGUAAAGCUCCUUCGAC
Molecule: ribosomal RNA, 157 nt
Filed under: Paracremonium sp.
Lineage: Eukaryota; Fungi; Ascomycota; Sordariomycetes; Hypocreales; Nectriaceae
Description: partial large subunit ribosomal RNA
Rfam family: Eukaryotic large subunit ribosomal RNA
Source: RNAcentral